RNAcentral lists this ribosomal RNA (425 nucleotides) under uncultured bacterium. RNAcentral describes it as "bacterial SSU rRNA". It matches the Rfam family "Bacterial small subunit ribosomal RNA", at positions 355 to 796 of the family's 1533-position model. The record is from RNAcentral.
UAGGGAAUUUUCCACAAUGGGGGCAACCCUGAUGGAGCAACGCCGCGUGCAGGAUGAAGGCCUUCGGGUUGUAAACUGCUUUUAUCUGUGACGAUUAUGACGGUAGCAGAUGAAUAAGGAUCGGCUAACUCCGUGCCAGCAGCCGCGGUCAUACGGAGGAUCCAAGCGUUAUCCGGAAUUACUGGGCGUAAAGAGUUGCGUAGGUGGCAGAGUAAGUUGCUAGUGAAAGCGUUCGGCUCAACCGAAUAUACAUUAGCAAAACUGCUCAGCUAGAGGACGAGAGAGGUAAUUGGAAUUCCUAGUGUAGGAGUGAAAUCCGUAGAUAUUAGGAGGAACACCGAUGGCGUAGGCAGAUUACUGGCUCGUUCCUGACACUAAGGCACGAAAGCGUGGGUAGCAAACGGGAUUAGAUACCCCGGUAGUCC